CACACACACACACACACACACACACACACACACACACACACACACACACACACACACUGACAUUCAUUCACAGCAGGACUGAAGGUCAUUUUCCUCUGUGGACUGUGACCUUCUGCUGACGGGGAGAAAAAACCCAAAGAGGAGGAAAACCAACCAGCCAUUUCACAAAGAUUACGUCAGUAGAAAGAACAGGAGGUUUAGUUCCUCAAAGUCUCCCAUGCUUUUCUUUCUUCGCUGUCCUUUGAUACCCAUAUUGCACCAGUGUGGAAAGUGGGUUCAUCCUAGGAGUGUGUUGAGUUGAAAUGAUGCACAGUUAGUACAGUAACUCUACUCAGAUUCUCAAGUGUUGUAGAGGUAGAUGUUGCUGGUUUUGUUAAUACUGAAUACAUGGAACUGACAGAUUAAGGAAAAAUAGGCCUAUUUGAACAUCUAUAAAUCAUUCAAGUGUUAUAUUACAUAUCUGAGUAUUAGCCUAGCAACCACGUUAGUUACUAUCAUCUCUGAGUUGUGACAUGCAGGGAUGAAGGAGUGCAGAGAAGGAAGGCCACCAUCUUCUGCUUGUGGGACACAUGCUUGUUUUCUCUCUGAAUAUGGAACACAUGCUUGUUAGUUAUUGUGAGGUAUGGGGACGUUUUCAGAGAACUGAGAGGAAACCCACGAACAAGACUCUUCAGCUGUUUCCUGUUGUUGUACCUCAGAAGACACCACAAGAUAGAGAGAGAGAGAGAGAGAGAGAGAGACAGAUAGACACAGAGAGAGAGACACAGAGAGAGAGAGAGACACACAGAGAGAAAGAGACACACAGAGACACACACAGAGAGAGAGAAAGAGACAGAGAGAGAGAGAGAGAGAGAGAGAGAGAGAGAGAGAGGGAUGUAUAUUAGACAUGGAGAUAGAGGCAGAGAGAGAUGGAAACAGACAGAGAGAGGUGGAACCUGAGAGAGAGAUGUCUGUAGGGGGUUACUGAUACUGUACUGAACCCAGCUGACAGAGAGAUAGAGAGAGAUGUGUGUAGGGGGUUACUGAUACUGUACUGAACCCAGCUGACAGAGAGAUAGAGAUGUGAUACUGUACUGAACCCAGCUGACAGAGAGAUAGAGAUGUGAUACUGUACUGAACCCAGCUGACAGAGAGAUAGAGAUGUGAUACUGUACUGAACCCAGCUGACAGAGAGAUAGAGAGAUGUACUAAACCCAGCUGACAGAGAGAUAGAGAGAGAUGUGAUACUGUACUGAACCCAGCUGACAGAGAGAAAGAGAGAGAGAUGUGAUACUGUACUGAACCCAGCUGACAGAGAGAUAGAGAGAGAUGUGAUACUGUACUGAACCCAUCUGACAGAGAGAUAGAGAGAGAUGUGAUACUGUACUAAACCCAGCUGACAGAGAGAUAGAGAGAUGUGAUACUGUACUGAACCCAGCUGACAGAGAGAUAGAGAGAGAUGUGAUACUGUACUAAACCCAGCUGACAGAGAGAAAGAGAGAGAUGUGAUACUGUACUGAACCCAGCUGACAGAGAGCUAGAGAGAGAUGUGAUACUGUACUAAACCCAGCUGACAGAGAGAUAGAGAGAGAUGUGAUACUGUACUAAACCCAGCUGACAGAGAGAUAGAGAGAGAUAUGUGAUACUGUACUGAACCCAGCUGACAGAGAGAUAGAGAGAGAUGUGAUACUGUACUAAACCCAGCUGACAGAGAGAUAGAGAGAGAUGUGAUACUGUACUAAACCCAGCUGACAGAGAGAUAGAGAGAGAUAUGUGAUACUGUACUGAACCCAGCUG
This 1776-nucleotide long non-coding RNA is filed under the name Salmo salar (Atlantic salmon). Its description in RNAcentral is "lncRNA (ENSSSAG00000120319.1)". Lineage: Eukaryota; Metazoa; Chordata; Actinopteri; Salmoniformes; Salmonidae. The record is from RNAcentral.